UACAGAGGUCUCGAGCGUUGUUCGGAUUCAUUGGGCGUAAAGGGUGCGUAGGUUGCGGAGUAAGUUGGAUGUGAAAUACCGGGGCUCAACCCCGGAACUGCAUUCAAUACUGCUUCGCUUGAGUGCUGGAGAGGAGACUGGAAUUUACGGUGUAGCAGUGAAAUGCGUAGAUAUCGUAAGGAAGACCAGUGGCGAAGGCGAGUCUCUAGACAGCAACUGACACUGAGGCACGAAGGCCAGGGGAGCAAACGGG
This 253-nucleotide ribosomal RNA is filed under the name uncultured bacterium. Its description in RNAcentral is "partial 16S ribosomal RNA". It matches the Rfam family "Bacterial small subunit ribosomal RNA", at positions 524 to 776 of the family's 1533-position model. The record is from RNAcentral.